UACGAAGGGUGCAAGCGUUGCUCGGAUUCAUUGGGCGUAAAGGGUAGGUAGGUGGUCUUAUUUGUCUGGGGUGAAAUCCCUGAGCUUAACUCAGGAAGUGCCUCGGAAACGGUAAGACUAGAGUACUGGAGAGGGUCGUGGAAUUCCCGGUGUAGCGGUGAAAUGCGUAGAGAUCGGGAGGAACACCAAAAGCGAAAGCGGCGACCUGGACAGUUACUGACACUCAACUACGAAAGCGUGGGGAGCAAACGGG
Molecule: ribosomal RNA, 253 nt
Filed under: uncultured bacterium
Lineage: Bacteria
Description: partial 16S ribosomal RNA
Rfam family: Bacterial small subunit ribosomal RNA
Source: RNAcentral